AUGGGCUUCAAGCAAAGCCUGCAUGAGGCUGCCGUCUACCGACGGGGCAGUGGAGGAAAUGCCCUGCUGGUGGGCGUCUAUGUUGACGACUUGGUGAUCACGGGCACCAAAGAUGCAGAGGUGGCGGCGUUCAAGGAAGACAUGAAGGCCACCUUCCAGAUGAGUGAUCUGGGCCUCCUCUCCUUCUAUCUAGGGAUUGAGGUGCACCAGGACCACUCCGGGAUCGCGCUUCGACAGUCCGCCUACGCCAAGCGCAUCGUUGAGCUAGCUGGGCUCAUCGACUGCCACCCAGCUCUCACUCCGAUGGAGGAGAGGCUGAAACUGAGCCGCGACAGCACGACGGAGGAAGGGAUGCUACGCAGUACCGACGCCUUGUGGGGAGCCUUCGCUACCUCACCCACACACGGGCGGACUUGGCAUUCUCCGUCGGCUAUGUCGGUCGGUUCAUGGAGCGACCGACAUGGCAAUCAGUCAAGCAGCAGGUGGUGGCCCUGUCCAGCUGUGAGGCUGAGUACAUAG
This 519-nucleotide ribosomal RNA is filed under the name Triticum aestivum (bread wheat). RNAcentral's name for it is "partial small subunit ribosomal RNA". The record is from RNAcentral. Lineage: Eukaryota; Viridiplantae; Streptophyta; Magnoliopsida; Poales; Poaceae.